This 69-nucleotide transfer RNA is filed under the name Rattus norvegicus (Norway rat). It matches the Rfam family "tRNA". Rfam says of the family: Transfer RNA (tRNA) molecules are approximately 80 nucleotides in length. Their secondary structure includes four short double-helical elements and three loops (D, anti-codon, and T loops). The record is from Rfam by way of RNAcentral. Lineage: Eukaryota; Metazoa; Chordata; Mammalia; Rodentia; Muridae.
GGGGAUUUAGCUCAGUGGUAGAGCGCUUGCCUAGCAAGCACAAGGCCCUGGGUUCAGUUCCCAACUCCA